This 206-nucleotide ribosomal RNA is filed under the name uncultured bacterium. Its description in RNAcentral is "partial 16S ribosomal RNA". It matches the Rfam family "Bacterial small subunit ribosomal RNA", at positions 568 to 774 of the family's 1533-position model. The record is from RNAcentral.
CGCACAGGUGGUUUCUUAAGUCUGAUGUGAAAGCCCACGGCUCAACCGUGGAGGGUCAUUGGAAACUGGGAGACUUGAGUGCAGAAGAGGAUAGUGGAAUUCCAAGUGUAGCGGUGAAAUGCGUAGAUAUCAGGAGGAAUACCGGAGGCGAAGGCGGCCUGCUGGACAAAUACUGACGCUGAGGCGCGAAAGCGUGGGAGCAAACA